RNAcentral lists this transfer RNA (68 nucleotides) under Hymenoptera sp. 4 GYN-2021. RNAcentral's name for it is "tRNA-Ser". Lineage: Eukaryota; Metazoa; Arthropoda; Insecta; Hymenoptera. The record is from RNAcentral.
GAAAUAUGAAGAUUCAAAAAAAAGCUUCUAACUUUUUAUUUAAACGAUUUAAUUUCGUUUAUAUUUCU